RNAcentral lists this unclassified non-coding RNA (240 nucleotides) under uncultured Leohumicola. RNAcentral describes it as "sequence contains ITS2". The stretch from base 1 to 52 matches the Rfam family "5.8S ribosomal RNA", at positions 103 to 154 of the family's 154-position model. Lineage: Eukaryota; Fungi; Ascomycota; Leotiomycetes. The record is from RNAcentral.
AACGCACAUUGCGCCCCUUGGUAUUCCGAGGGGCAUGCCUGUUCGAGCGUCAUUAUAACCCCUCAAGCUCAGCUUGGUGUUGGGGCCUGCCGCACGGGCAGCCCUUAAAAUCAGUGGCGGUGCCAUCUGGCUCUAAGCGUAGUAAUUCUUCUCGCUAUAGAGUCCCGGUGGAUGCUUGCCAUUAACCCCCAAUUUUCAAUGGUUGACCUCGGAUCAGGUAGGGAUACCCGCUGAACUUAA